Molecule: ribosomal RNA, 892 nt
Filed under: Helvella pseudoreflexa
Lineage: Eukaryota; Fungi; Ascomycota; Pezizomycetes; Pezizales; Helvellaceae
Description: eukaryotic LSU rRNA
Rfam family: Eukaryotic large subunit ribosomal RNA
Source: RNAcentral
AACCCAAACAGGGAUUGCCCCAGUAACGGCGAGUGAAGCGGCAGGAGCUCAAAUUUGAAAUCUGGGGCCCCCGGCCUCCGAGUUGUAAUUUGGAGAGGCUCCUUCGGGGGGGAGCGCUGGCCCAUGUUCCUUGGAACAGGACGUCGCAGAGGGUGAGAAUCCCGUGCCAGGCCGGCUGCCUCCUCCCGCGUGAAGGGCCUUCGACGAGUCGAGUUGUUUGGGAAUGCAGCUCCAAGUGGGUGGUAAAUUUCAUCUAAAGCUAAAUACCGGCGGGAGACCGAUAGCGCACAAGUAGAGUGAUCGAAAGAUGAAAAGCACUUUGAAAAUAGAGUCAAAAAGUACGUGAAAUUGUUGAAAGGGAAGCGCUUGAGACCAGACUCAGACCCAGGCAAACACCGCGCCCCCAGGGGCCGUGCAAUUGCCCGGUGCUGGGCCAGCAUCAGUUGGCGUGGCGGGACAAGGGCGCGGGAAAUGUGGCUCCCCUCGGGGAGUGUUAUCAGGCCCGCGCCGGAUGCCGCCGACGCCGACUGAGGACCGCGCCUCGGCUAGGAUGCUGGCUUAAUGGCCUUCAGCGACCCGUCUUGAAACACGGACCAAGGAGUCUAACAUCUAUGCGAGUGUUUGGGCGCCAAACCCUUGCGCGGAAUGAAAGUGAGCGGAGGUGGGAACCCCUAGCCGGGCGCACCAUCGACCGAUCCUGAUGUCUUCGGAUGGAUUUGAGUAGGAGCAUAGCUGUUGGGACCCGAAAGAUGGUGAACUAUGCCUGAAUAGGGUGAAGCCAGAGGAAACUCUGGUGGAGGCUCGCAGCGGUUCUGACGUGCAAAUCGAUCGUCAAAUUUGGGUAUAGGGGCGAAAGACUAAUCGAACCAUCUAGUAGCUGGUUCCUGCCGAU